UACGUAGGGCGCAAGCGUUAUCCGGAAUUAUUGGGCGUAAAGAGCUCGUAGGCGGUUUGUCGCGUCUGCCGUGAAAGUCCGGGGCUCAACUCCGGAUCUGCGGUGGGUACGGGCAGACUAGAGUGAUGUAGGGGAGACUGGAAUUCCUGGUGUAGCGGUGAAAUGCGCAGAUGUCAGGAGGAACACCGAUGGCGAAGGCAGGUCUCUGGGCAUUAACUGACGCUGAGGAGCGAAAGCGUGGGGAGCGAACAGG
RNAcentral lists this ribosomal RNA (253 nucleotides) under uncultured bacterium. RNAcentral describes it as "partial 16S ribosomal RNA". It matches the Rfam family "Bacterial small subunit ribosomal RNA", at positions 524 to 776 of the family's 1533-position model. The record is from RNAcentral.